CAGUAGCCGCGGUAAUACGGAGGGGGCUAGCGUUGUUCGGAAUUACUGGGCGUAAAGCGCACGUAGGCGGCUUUGUAAGUCAGAGGUGAAAGCCCGGGGCUCAACCCCGGAAUUGCCUUUGAGACUGCAUCGCUUGAAUCCAGGAGAGGUGAGUGGAAUUCCGAGUGUAGAGGUGAAAUUCGUAGAUAUUCGGGAGAACACCAGUGGCGAAGGCGGCUCACUGGCUCAUACUGGACGCUGAGGUGCGAAAGCGUGGGGAGCAAACAGGAUUAGAGACCCCAGUAGUCCCUGUCUCUUAUAA
This 301-nucleotide ribosomal RNA is filed under the name uncultured bacterium. RNAcentral's name for it is "partial 16S ribosomal RNA". It matches the Rfam family "Bacterial small subunit ribosomal RNA", at positions 509 to 809 of the family's 1533-position model. The record is from RNAcentral.